GGGAAGUACGGUCGCAAGACCGAAACUCAAAUGAAUUGACGGGGGCCUACACAAGCGGUGGAGCAUGUGGUUUAAUUCGAUACAACACGCAAAACCUUACCAGCCCUUGACAUAUGAACAACAAAACCUGUCCUUCACAGGAUGGUACUGACUUUCAUACAGGUGCUGCAUGGCUGUCGUCAGCUCGUGUCGUGAGAUGUUUGGUCAAGUCCUAUAACAAGCAAAACCCUCGUUUUGUGUUGCUGAGACAUGCGCCUAAGGAGAAAUUGCCACCGAGUGACGUGCCAGCGCUACUACUUGAUUGAGUGCCACCACGUAGCUGUGCUUUCAGCAAGAAUUUCACCAUUGGGAGCCGGUGCCUUUCGAAGCACUUUCACGUUUGAACCGAAGUCGUCUUGCCCAAGACCCAUAGAGACCUACCUAUAGUGACGUCAAAGUACCAGUGAGCAUGGAGGUUUGGUUGAAAUUGGUUACGACGACGUCGAGUUGGUGGCAGAGGAAGACUCGGCAUGAAGGCCAUAAAAUGGUGUGGAACGUAGUGGUAAUAGUACGCGCCCCGCUCCAAAACAAAGAAAAAGGUGCGUGCCGCACUCACGAGGGACUGCGAGUGAGAUAGUGGAGGAAGGUGGGGAUGACGUCAAGUCCGCAUGGCCCUUAUGGGCUGGGCCACACACGUGCUACAAUAGCAAUGACAAUGGGAAGCAAGGCUGUAAGGCAGAGCGAAUCCGGAAAGAUUGCCUCAGUUCGGAUUGUUCUCUGCAACUCGGGAACAUGAAGUUGAAAUCGCUAGUAAUCGCGGAUCAUCACGCCGCUGUGAAUAUGUACCCAGGCCCUGUACACACCACCCGUCACACCCUGGGAGUUGGUUUCGCCCGAAGCAUCGGACCAAUGAUCACCCGUCACUUUUGUGUACCACUAGUGCCAUAAAGGCCUUUGGUGGUCUUAUUGGCGCAUACCAUGGUGGGGUCUUCGACUGGGGUGAAGUCGUAACAAGGUAGCCGUAGGGGAACCUAUGGCUG
RNAcentral lists this ribosomal RNA (1019 nucleotides) under Triticum dicoccoides. RNAcentral describes it as "rRNA SSU_rRNA_eukarya". It matches the Rfam family "Bacterial small subunit ribosomal RNA", at positions 875 to 1520 of the family's 1533-position model. Lineage: Eukaryota; Viridiplantae; Streptophyta; Magnoliopsida; Poales; Poaceae. The record is from RNAcentral.